This 99-nucleotide small nuclear RNA is filed under the name Oryza sativa Indica Group (long-grained rice). RNAcentral's name for it is "U5 spliceosomal RNA". Lineage: Eukaryota; Viridiplantae; Streptophyta; Magnoliopsida; Poales; Poaceae. The record is from RNAcentral. RNAcentral also lists the same sequence under 1 other name.
UUUUUACGAAUGAUUAUUUGAAAGUUAUCUUUUUUUUACGAAUGAUUAUUUAAUAAAAAGCAAUCUAGAAUGUUCGAAACCUUAGGCUUAAAUGAAUCU